Molecule: long non-coding RNA, 660 nt
Filed under: Gossypium raimondii (Peruvian cotton)
Lineage: Eukaryota; Viridiplantae; Streptophyta; Magnoliopsida; Malvales; Malvaceae
Description: long non-coding RNA (GRAI_LNC003920)
Source: RNAcentral
CCAAUUUUAGUAAAAAUUCACGAAACUUACACAAAACCAUCCCAAAACAUAGUCUUACAAAAGUAUCAAAUGCAUUCGCACACUAACCGACAAUGAACCGGAAACAUCCCGCACUCAAUUCGCUGGAGAAGCACCAAUUGUGCCUUGCCUUUUCGCUAAUAAAAAAUUGACGAGAAUUAACGAGAAACCCCCUUAAACACUAACUAAAAAAAACAGUAAAACCACACCUACCUAACUUACCGAAAUGAAUGAAAUAGAGAUUUGCACAAAAAAUGAUGCUGAACGACAAAAGGGUAACCCCCGAUUUUUGGUUUAAAAUGCAAGAGAAGAAUAAAAAGAAAGAAAGAAAAAAAAGAAAAUUGUGUAGAAAAGGGAAAAGAGAAUAAAAACUGACGUAAAAUCAAGAGGGGACUUUUUGGAAACAAAAUUAGGAUAAAACAAAAUUAAUUGAUUAAAAUUUGAAAAAAAAACUAAAAUCCCCUACUAACACCCCCGCUUACCACACAAUCCCACCAAAUUCGACACCUCAAUCCAUAUCCAACUACCUCAAAAUUUCAACUCCACUGAACCUCUAUCAGACAACCAAAGCAAAAAUUAUCAUCCACACUCACAUAAGGAUUCGAACAUGAAACCUUAAUGCAAGCUAACACCUUACCACCC